Pieris napi is the source of this 533-nucleotide long non-coding RNA. RefSeq lists it as uncharacterized. NCBI's taxonomy places the organism in Eukaryota, Metazoa, Arthropoda, Insecta, Lepidoptera, Pieridae. The record is from RefSeq and is a predicted model, not a curated record. The transcript is spliced from 2 exons.
UUAUUUAUAAAAGCUUGCCAACGCUUGGCACAUUAAUACAUUGACAGAAGAAAAAUAAAAUACAGUUUUCAAUGUGUCAAGCACUUACUGGCAAACAUAGCAUACAAGAAGUAAUAAAAUUAAUUAAUCAAAACAAUAAUAAAAUUUAAACAAACACUAAACGAAAAUCGCUCUCAAAGUCUGAGGUGAGCAACUAUGGAUGUCCAGAUCCAGCUCGUUUAAUAGAAUGCUCAAUCUGGACAUCGGUGAAUUUCGGCCAAAACGCGUUCUCCGGAAAGGAGGGAUAAAUGGAAGGAUGGGAUGUCUGGGAUAUCGUAGGACAUAGAGACUAUGAUCUCAUGGCGUUCCUCGUCAAAGUGGUGUUGGGUGAAAAUUGUCUGUCAAUAAAACAUCUCAAAAGACGUCUCAUCUAGCAAUUUAAAUUCAGCAGAGCUUUCAAAUUCGACACUCGACUAAUGCGAUCCCGAACAUUUUAUCGAACUCCGAUACCUGUAUCCAAAUUAUUUAAAUAUAUAAGGCGACUUAAUUAUUAA